AAAGCAGCUUUUCUGUUUGGAACGGUGUGGAGGUAACCCUAACAACAGAACGGUGAGUUAACAGAACGGUGUGGAGGUAACCCCAACAACAGAACGGUGUGGAGGUAACCCCAACAACAGAACGGUGAGUUAACAGAACGGUGUGGAGGUAACCCCAACAACAGAAUGGUGUGGAGGUAACCCCAACAACAGAACGGUGUGGAGGUAACCCUAACAACAGAACGGUGUGGAGGUAACCCCAACAACAGAACGGUGUGGAGGUAACCCCAACAAC
Oncorhynchus tshawytscha (Chinook salmon) is the source of this 274-nucleotide long non-coding RNA. RefSeq lists it as uncharacterized. NCBI's taxonomy places the organism in Eukaryota, Metazoa, Chordata, Actinopteri, Salmoniformes, Salmonidae. The record is from RefSeq and is a predicted model, not a curated record. The transcript has 3 exons.